This 244-nucleotide ribosomal RNA is filed under the name uncultured bacterium. Its description in RNAcentral is "partial 16S ribosomal RNA". It matches the Rfam family "Bacterial small subunit ribosomal RNA", at positions 524 to 767 of the family's 1533-position model. The record is from RNAcentral.
UACGAAGGGGGCUAGCGUUGUUCGGAAUUACUGGGCGUAAAGCGCACGUAGGCGGAUUGUUUAGUUAGGGGUGAAAUCCCGGGGCUCAACCCCGGAACUGCCUUUGAUACUGGCGAUCUUGAGUCCGGAAGAGGUGAGUGGAAUCCUAGUGUAGAGGUGGAAUUCGUAGAUAUUAGGAAGAACACCAGUGGCGAAGGCGGCUCACUGGUCCGGUACUGACGCUGAGGUGGCGAAAGCGAUGGGA